GUAGGCAACCUGCCUGCAAGACCGGGAUAACCCACGGAAACGUGAGCUAAUACCGGAUAUCUCAUUUCCUCUCCUGAGGGAAUGAUGAAAGACGGAGCAAUCUGUCACUUGCGGAUGGGCCUGCGGCGCAUUAGCUAGUUGGUGAGGUAACGGCUCACCAAGGCGACGAUGCGUAGCCGACCUGAGAGGGUGAACGGCCACACUGGGACUGAGACACGGCCCAGACUCCUACGGGAGGCAGCAGUAGGGAAUCUUCCGCAAUGGGCGAAAGCCUGACGGAGCAACGCCGCGUGAGUGAUGAAGGUUUUCGGAUCGUAAAGCUCUGUUGCCAGGGAAGAACGUCCGAUAGAGUAACUGCUAUCGGAGUGACGGUACCUGAGAAGAAAGCCCCGGCUAACUACGUGCCAGCAGCCGCGGUAAUACGUAGGGGGCAAGCGUUGUC
Molecule: ribosomal RNA, 442 nt
Filed under: Paenibacillus sp. F361
Lineage: Bacteria; Bacillati; Bacillota; Bacilli; Caryophanales; Paenibacillaceae
Description: bacterial SSU rRNA
Rfam family: Bacterial small subunit ribosomal RNA
Source: RNAcentral